GGGGAAGGGGUGUUUGAAGAGUUUGACACUUCUCCGCUAGGGACCACCACAAGUCAAUGCCCUAGAGAUGGUGGCGAUUGCGGCGGCGACUUCUAUACAGUAUAUAUAUAUUCAAAGGUAAUAUUUGUUGUUUAUAUAAAAAAAAAAAAAAAAAAUUGUAAGUACAGAAAUAGGUUUUCUAAAAUGUUGACCCGCACAUCGAGGAACCCCGGUGGAUGGCGGCGCGCGCGUCAGUUGGCCUGCUGCGUCAGCAGGGUGAGCAGCUCCUCGUGGUCCAUGUUGUUGAGCGUGUGGAUGUCGAUGCCCAGCGCGUUGGCCACGCUCGCCAUGUCCAGCCCGAACGACUUGAGCAGCUCGAUGAAGUCCAUCUCCUCGCCGGUGAAGGGGUUGUGCAGCUUGGGGCAGGAGUGGUUGCACUGCGGCCAGGAGCACCGCUCCACGUGGCGGUACUGGCACUGCACCGACCGCUGCUCCCGCCGGCGACUCCCCUUCCUGCCUGCGGGGGCCAGACACACCCCGCUCGCUCACGCCGUUCUACCGACGCACACUUUCAGCUGAAGACGCUGACACAACCAGGUGUAUGAACUAGGAAAUACAUUUUUCACAUUUUUUUUAAGUUAAAAACAUACUGUCGAUCAUUUUGCAUAAGAUAGCUUAAAUUUAGAAGACUGGUGUGCAUUUAUAUUUGUUAAGUUGAUUGUGCUCUUUUUUAAGAUUUUCAGCCGAGAUGCAAAUUUUUGGAGAGAAAAAAAAUCUAUUGUAACCUUCAGAGAAUGUUUGUACUGAGAACUUUAUUGUACUUUUAGAGGCUAGUGAUAAAAUACACAAAUUUUAACAGUUUGCAGAAUAAAACUUUUUUUGAGCUAGGCAGGGCCCUUGAUGAGGUUUUUUAAUUAACAGCAUGUAAAAAAAAAAUGGGUGGUAGCAUUUAAAAAGCAAAGCCCUGCCAUCUGUAGUGUCGUGCUAGCUCUCAGGAAUUUUUCACCAGCCGCGUCAUAAAAUCAAGUGCGGGAGCAGGAAGGUCAGUUGAAAUAACCAACCUUUUUUCUUUUUACCCCUGUUCCUUUCCGGCCUGUUCUUGUUCCUGUUGCCGUUGUGUUUCUUCCUGCGCCGCCGCCGCCUGUCGUGCCUGCUGCCGGGGGCCGAGGUCGCGUUGGUCCGGUAGCUCAUGCGCUGCAGGCUCUGGGCCGCCGGGGGCUCGUCACCCAGCAUCGGCACCGCCAGCCUUGCAGAGACGGGACAGAUGCUAUCACCGGUGCCUUUCGGGUGGUCCCACUCCGAAUGCUAACCUAAAUUACUGCAUUUGCAACAGGCUCUCAUCAAUGAAGCAAGAAGGCACAGUUAUAAGUAAAAUGGUCUCACAUUUCAGAGGACUCUAAUCCAGCCAUUCAUUUCAGUUUUUUUGUUUUAGCUAACCCAAAAUCACUCCAGGCAAAUGCUGUGAUUGUCACUUUCUACUAAGACUUUUUUUUUCCUUUUUUUUUCCAUCUUUAAUAACCUUGGUUCUUGAAUACACUACUCAAACACAGUUCUGCUACACCCAUUUAUCUUGCUAACAUAAUAUGUACAAUUUACAGGUUUCUGGCUCAGUUUUGGUAAGGUCUGUACAGUAAGAUACGUGUUUUAGUAAAAUAAAGUGUGUAUGUACUU
This is a long non-coding RNA of Bacillus rossius redtenbacheri, 1650 nucleotides long. RefSeq lists it as uncharacterized. Lineage: Eukaryota; Metazoa; Arthropoda; Insecta; Phasmatodea; Bacillidae. The record is from RefSeq and is a predicted model, not a curated record. The transcript has 2 exons.